This 294-nucleotide small RNA is filed under the name Oryza sativa Japonica Group (Japanese rice). Its description in RNAcentral is "sRNA Os08g0456450". The record is from RNAcentral. Lineage: Eukaryota; Viridiplantae; Streptophyta; Magnoliopsida; Poales; Poaceae.
CCGGCGACAAGAUUUGCAGAGAGAAGCGAGGCUAAUGAGGAAAGCAGAAAGGAGAGGAUAGGGCGCAUACUCUUUGCAACACCUCGAGACCGGCUGAAUCCGUUCAAGUCCCUGUAGCUCUUGCUGCAAAAAGGGAGCCCCCAGUCAGGCCGAGGCACAUGCACAUGGCUUCCACAGACCUAUACACAGUCCUGCUCCAUGUGCCAUGAAUGGAAGCAGUAAAGAACACGAGCAAUGCGCAGCAGCAGCAGCAGCGUCUCUACCUACUGAUUGCCAUUGCCAGGUGAUGUCACG